GACUAUUCAUUUUCUUUUUCCUUCCUAGUCAUCCCUUUCCUCUUCCCCUUCAUUUUUCACUCAAUUUUUCCCUUUUUCUUCCUUUUUGUGUCGUCCUAAACAAUGUGAUUCUCACCAUUUUUGUCUUUAAAUUAGACCUUUUCUGCUCUAAAAUCACCCAAAAUCAGCCUCUCCUUGCUACCAUUAAAUCUCCAUUGCCGCCCCCUCUCCUCCAUUUGUGACGGUGUUGGUUUGUUCCCUUUUCCCUCUACUUUCUUUUUCUUUUGUUGUUGAUUUUUGCUGCUAUUUUUAUAGCCAUUUUAUUAAUGUUUCCUGCCUCUAAAAUGUGACCCCUGACUUCCAAAAAUCCUCUUUGGUGUUUAUCUAAAACUAAUCCCUUUGUUCCACCAUUAGACGUGUUGUCACCCUUGGAGCAUCAUUGUUUUGUUGCUAUUUUUUUUCUUCUUUUUCUCCCCCUUACAGUAGUGUUUUCCUUAAAAUUUCUCUAUUUAAAACAACCCUUAACAUUCCAAAUUGAUAAGGUAUCCAAAUACAUUCAUCCGACAUCUCAGAUCUAAUUAACGAGAAGCGUAAGUGUAGUUUUUACGAGUGAUUGUACUGUAAUAUUUUUGUUAAAAGAUAUUGUUUUGACUGAUUGAUCUAAGGCCUUUAAUUGAUUAUUGAAUACUGAUUUUUAUUAAUAUUUUAAUCGUAGGUGCUGAUUUGAACCUCCUAAAUUAGCAAUGAAGUUAGAUUUCAUUCACAACCUCGUUUCGCAUCAAAUCAAUGUAAGUUAGCUUGUCGAAUUAGAUCUGAAAAAUAGUUGGUGUAGCACUGAUUUGGCCGAAUCCUUAGGGGGUGUUUCAAGGUUGGUCAUUAAUCGUAUAUUAUUAUUCUAAGUGUUAUUUUUGUAUCUAGGUUCAUCUAAGGCUUAAUACGGAAGUGCGGAUUUUACGGUUUAGUGUUACAGUUUGUGAAUUAAGGUGUAGGUCUUCCCUAAGCCUAAAUAACCUAAUACUCAAAUAAAUAUAUUUAAAUAAUGUCAUUUGAUUGCUGAUUUUAGUUUGACCGAAUGACCUAAAUGCAAAUAAGUGAGGUGUUGAGUAAGGUACGGAAUUAAAUAGGAAGCCUAAAUGUUAAAUGUCAUGUUUGGGUGAUGAAAUUGUGAAUGGAAUGUGUGUAUAGCAUGCUAAAUUUUGUAUUAUUGUUUGAUGUGCAUGUAAAUUUGCCAUGACUAAAAUUGUGUUAUGUAUGUAAUUAUGUUACAUAUCAUGUACAACAUUGAUUGUAUUGGAAGCAUGUACUCAUGCCACUAAUUCUUUUAAUUGAAAGUACGCAAGACAUACCCCGAUAUUAUUUACCGAGAAGCAUGAUAAACAUGUCAUUAUACUGAACAAUUAUUGAUAAGCGUGAUAAGCAUGAUCACUAAUAAAAACAUGUUUGAUACUUAUUUUUCUAUAAUAGAAACAUAUGAAAUAAAAUCUAAAAAGUUUACAUUUAUAUUUGAAAAAUUGUUGAAAACAAAAUAUUUGUGUCUAUAUGAAUUUGAAUCCAGGCAAAAUUUAAACUUAAAACCACUUAUUUUCAUAUUUUUUCAGUUUUCCAAAACAUUUUUAAUAAAGAAUGAAAACAACUUCUUCAUUGUGUUCUAAUUUUCACAUAUUUUUUUAUUUUUUAAAAAUUAUUUUUAAAAUUUUCAAUUAAACACAUUUUCUCCAAUGUCUUCCAUUUUCUAAGAAAACGAAAAUGAAAAAAAAAACAUUUGUUUCUCAAAACCAAACGAAGCAUUAAUUUUUUAAAACUUGUGAUUUUAAAAAUGAUACUCACAUAAUUUCCGGAACCUUAAAUACAUAUUUUAGCCCUCAAAUUUGACAACUCCACCUAAAUUGAUACUUAUGGCUAGCUUAGCAAUGCUUUUAAAAAGUUUGGUUUAAGAUUUGAGUAUUUAGCAUUGUUGUUAAAAAGUGCUUUUGAGAAAUAAAAUGUCCAUUUUAGACAUGGUAUUAUCAAGUAAUAAAUAUGCAUUUAAAUAGUAUUCAAAUUAGUUAAUAUUAUUAUAUUUUAGUAAGAAUAUAAAAACAAUUUAUUAUAACUUUUUGUUAAUAUUUUAAUAUAUGAAAUAUAAAUUUUAAAUAUUUUUAAGCAAUAGAUAUUAAUUAUUUAUAAAAUUUAAUUAGAAUAUAUAAACUAUAUUUUAAAUAUUUAAAUAUAACUAUUAAAUAUUUGUAAUUAGAUAUUAACACAUUUGUAUUAUUUUGGAACAUUUUUUUUAUUUUUAAUUCAUGAUUUUAACACAUUUGUAAUUAAGUAUCAAGAAAAGAAAAAGAAGGGAAAAUAUUAUGUUGUUGGAGGGUAAAUAAGUAAUUAAGCACCAAAAGUGCUCUUGAGAGAGGAAAAACUAAAAGUUUUACCUUCUACUUUUGAAAAAUACUUUUGAAAAGUUAAAAACUUCACUUAAAAGUAGCUUGUUUAGUACGGCUUUUCUUACAAAAGUGUUUUUCAAACCAAAAAUAUUUUUUAAGCACUAUUAAACAAGCCCUUAAGGUUUUUUCUUUUACAAAUUAGUACAUUAUUUUACUCCUAAAUUUGACAACUCAUCUAAAUUGAUACUUUUUUUUUCAGAUUAGUACUUGAAUUCUUUUUUUUUUCUAUCCGCCAUGCUAGUAUUUUUUUUAUAGUACCAUUCAAAUUUGAUGACAUGACAAUUUAUGGUUGUGUCACGUGAUAAUGAUGAUGUCAUCAUAUAAAAUUUUUAAAAUAUAUAAUAGCGAGUUUGCAUAUUUGUAUAAUGUACGAAUUUGGUUGUAUGUAUUAAUAAAAUAGUAUUUUAUAAAAUAAUGAAAAAAUACUUAUAAGUUUGUAAAAAAAAUACUAUUUAAAAAAAACGAUAUUGUAUUAUGAAUUUUUUGAAAAAUUAAUUUUUAAUAUGAAUAAUAAUAUUUUGUAACAUAAUAACAAAAGUUUUAAAGAUUUGUAAAAAAAGAAUUACCAUUUUUUUAAAAAAAAUUGGCAUUGUAUUAAGGUUUUUAUUAAAUAAAAAUUAAAAUGAAUUUAGUAAAUUUAAUAGAUAGAAAUUUUAAAACUUUUAAAACUUGGAUUGAAAUUUGGGUUAAUGAGUUGUUUUUAUAAAUAAUUUUCAUUUUAUUUCAAUGGUAAUGAAAUUUUGGAUUUUAGCCCAUUAAUAUUAAAAUAUAAUAUUUUAUAUUUGUAUAUUUAAAUGUAUAAACAUGUUACUAUAUUUAAAACAUUAAAAAAAUCAAAUAUUACAAAAAAAAUUGUAAAAACAUCAAAAAGAAAAUUCUAUAAAAAAAUCCUUAAUUUUUUUAUGUUUUACAAUUUAGUCCCUUUAACUGUUUGGUUCAAAUGGUGACCUCUCCAGACACCUUCAAUAAUACCAACGAGGCAUUACUCUUUGGUUAGCUACACAAAAAUUGUAAGAUUGUCGUGUCUCAUGCGAACUACUCUCAUAUUCUAGGAUAAAAUAACACUUGUAUCAUAGAAUGAGGGAGUUAGCAAUUGGAUUUUUCAAAAAAAAAAAAAAUCAAUAAAUUGUUCUCAGCAACCCAUCGUUAGAUCUUUGUGCACCAUCACCCCUAUGCAUCAUCAAACCCCUUUCAACAAUCCAAUCACCAUACCACCUCAAUUACUGACUUUCAUCCAUUAAUCCAAACAAUCAUCUACCCAUCAAUCCACUUACUACCUAGUCAAUACCACCACAUCUACCUUUGUUACAUCUUCUCUUCACUAGAACAUCACAUGCAUAAACACUUCAAUAACAUUUCCAUCAUUGAAUCAAUCCUAUCAUUUUUAACUACUAACAAUUCAACAAUAAACUUACCCUCAAACGUUAAUCAACAAAUUCAACUGAACUCUUCACCUAUAGUAGAAUUGUUCAUGAACUAGGUUUCUUGCCCAAGCCUAAAGAUUUGCCCAAAAUUUGGGAGGGUUUGGGCAAAAAUAUUAAACCCGAAAGAUAGGCUUGGGCAAAAAUAUUAGGCCCGUUUAAAAUAUGAGGCGAACUCAGGCUUGAACAUUCGAGGCCCAAGCUCGACUCGAUCCGGCCCGUUUGUUUAAGUUAAUAAUAUUUUAUAUUAUGCUAUUUUUUAUAUAUUAUAUAAUUUAUAAUAUAUAUAAAUUAAAUUUAUAAUAGUAUAUAAUAUUAUUAUAAUGUAAACAUUAAAAAAUUAAGAUGACUAUAUAUAAAAUAUUAAUAAAUAAAAAUACAUAAAUUUAUUAAAUAUUAAAUUAAAAUGAUAUAAAUAUAUUUUUAUUUAAAAAUAAUAAUACGGGGGCUUAAAAUGAGUUUGAGUAAAAUUUUAAGCCCAUAUUUCGAGUUGAGCCGAGCUUGGAUAAGCAUAAAAUGUGUUAAUAUCAUGCCUAGGUCCGAUCCAAACCUAACUCAACCCAACCCAUAAACACCUCUAACCAAUAGCUACUAUUAGCUCCCAUCUAACUUGAAUUAAUACCCCCAAAAAAGACCUAUACUUUAACCCUCAAACGAAAUUAAACCUAUAAGAAGCAAGUUGAGAAUAAAAAAAACCAAUAAAAGAGAAAGAAAAUACAUAAUUCAAAAUUAGCUUCAUUGGAUGGCAAAGACGAUUUAUCGAAGUAACAUAUCUUCGUAUCUUGUUUGGAGAGCUUUAGAUUUUAGGGUUUUUUUUAGCAAAACUUGACCUGAUAAGGUGAAAGAGGAAAGAGAGAGCCACAUUCAAAUGUUAUUUGUGUCCUUACCACAUUAUUUAAAUAAAUUAUUUUUUUCCAAAUCAUAUAUACAAUUGGUAAGGAGAGAUCAUGAAUGAUUUAGAAAGAAAAAUGAUGUAUUUAUUUUUAAUUAGUAAGAGGAUUCAUAAAAUAUUUUUUUCAUACAUCCUUACAACCAAAAAUAAAAAAGUAAAACGAGGCAUUUUUGCUUUUUGGAAGGGAGGCACGGUAAAAGAGAAAGUAAAAUGAUCUAACAAUCAGGAUUUGGUAAAACUAUGCCAGCGAUACUUGUUAUCAAUUUUUCUAUUAGAUUGUACUUUGGAGUAUAUGAUUAAAUAUAAUUGAUUAAAUACUUAUAUGGUGAUAAAUUUGUCAUGACUAUACUGCUGCUAAUUAUAUUUAUGGUAAUACAAAUCAAUUGUGAAUCAAAUUCCAUUAGCUUUUUUGAGAUUUAAAAAAAAUAUUAUAUGCAAAUUUAUGGAAUAAAUUAUUUAUGAUUAUUUUUUAUAAUUGUAUUAGGGUGUUAUAAUUUAAUAUAAAAUGAAAAUAAUUAAUGUUAUUUUUUUAGAGAAUCUUAUUCAGAUUCUUAUACGUAAAAAAUAGAAAUAAAUUAAUAUCACGUAAUUUUAUUUAGAUUUCAUGUUAACAUUUUUAAAAGUAAAACCAAAUUGCUUUUUUUUUUUACUGACAUUCUAUUUCUUUUACUGCUCUUUAUAAUCAUAAUUUGAAAUUAAAACUUACCUAAUUUGUUCCAAUACCUUAUAUUAAAUUAUACAUAUAUCACCAAAAUAUUUAUUAAAUUAUUAAUUAAGGAUAAAAAUUAAUUAGAGAAAUUAUUAAUUAUUAAUUAAAGAUGAAAAUUAUAAAAUAAUUAUUAAGGAAGCAUUUUGGAAUUCAAACAAUUAACUUAGAACUCCAAGCUUGCUAAAAUACUCAUGUUCAUUACUUUGUAUAUAUAUACUAGUUUAUAUACUCAUUUGAUUUUUGAUCCGUUUGAUUUUUUAUCUAAAGUACAACGAUUAUGAUACGAGCGGCCCAACCUAAUUCAAAGUCCAUGAUGAAGAUGGGCUUAGUCUCCCUUAAGGCCCAAUCAUGAUAUCCAAAUCCAAGCAGUUGAAGGUAAAACUCAACUUGUUCGUUCAAGGCAUUAUCACGAAUAAAUUUUGAGAAGAAGAGUUGAAGCUUCAAGACGAUGGGCUUUGGAGUUCAAUACUGAGCAACGAUGAAAUAGGAGGGACCAAUUUUGUUUGUGAACUUAAAAUUUCAAUGCAUGAUGGCAGGCACGUGUGGAAAAUGUUAGCAAGCUUAGGCGUUACACUUCAAGGACCCCAAUCAAGCCCACUCGCCUAGCCAUGUUACAAUCAGUCGACUUGCGGUGCAUUUUUUGAAGGGAUCCAGGCAUUUUUUAGUUGAGAUGUCAUCAUAGCGUUCAAAGAUCUAUUUCUUAACUUUGAAACACAUUUUGAAAUCACUUUUAUUUAGAUUAAGAGUUUCAGUAUAGUUAGAGUUUUAUUUGGAUGUACUUAACUGGCCUAUAAAAGGGCCUCUUUAUUAUUUAUUAAGGACAUAAUUGUUUUCAUUAAUAAAGUUUUCAACUUUGGGAGUUA
Molecule: long non-coding RNA, 6287 nt
Filed under: Gossypium barbadense (sea-island cotton)
Lineage: Eukaryota; Viridiplantae; Streptophyta; Magnoliopsida; Malvales; Malvaceae
Description: long non-coding RNA (GBAR_LNC014238)
Source: RNAcentral